GGACGCCAAACAAAGUGAAGACACGGGAACUCUGCGAUGAGGCGUUAAAUAAUAUCAAGUAAUCCAGGUAAAAGAGACCCGAGCCUGAACACCCAGACACCGGAUCGACCUCUCCCGUCUCCGGUAAGAUGAGCUCACCUUUGUCGAUGCUGAAGAAGAGGAGGCGCGCUCCUCUGCCGGACCCUGCGAGUGAACAGCGGGACAGACAGAAAGUGCCCAUCGGGAGGAACAUGUUAAAAGGAUUUCAGGCUGCUGGUGCUGAUGAUGAAUCCUCUGAUUCAACUCCUUCACCAACCGCAGCCAAUGAUGCCACCGCUUCAAAGCC
Molecule: long non-coding RNA, 325 nt
Organism: Gasterosteus aculeatus aculeatus (three-spined stickleback)
Lineage: Eukaryota; Metazoa; Chordata; Actinopteri; Perciformes; Gasterosteidae
Source: Ensembl